RNAcentral lists this ribosomal RNA (425 nucleotides) under uncultured bacterium. RNAcentral describes it as "partial 16S ribosomal RNA". It matches the Rfam family "Bacterial small subunit ribosomal RNA", at positions 354 to 796 of the family's 1533-position model. The record is from RNAcentral.
GUGGGGAAUAUUGGACAAUGGGCGAAAGCCUGAUCCAGCAAUGCCGCGUGAGUGAUGAAGGCCUUAGGGUUGUAAAGCUCUUUUACCCGGGAUGAUAAUGACAGUACCGGGAGAAUAAGCUCCGGCUAACUCCGUGCCAGCAGCCGCGGUAAUACGGAGGGAGCUAGCGUUGUUCGGAAUUACUGGGCGUAAAGCGCACGUAGGCGGCUUUGUAAGUUAGAGGUGAAAGCCUGGAGCUUAACUCCAGAACUGCCUUUAAGACUGCAUCGCUUGGAUCCAGGAGAGGAGAGUGGAAUUCCGAGUGUAGAGGUGAAAUUCGUAGAUAUUCGGAAGAACACCAGUGGCGAAGGCGGCUCACUGGACUGGUAUUGACGCUGAGGUGCGAAAGCGUGGGGAGCAAACAGGAUUAGAAACCCGGGUAGUCC